UCGAAGCGCACGAAUUCCGUAUCGUCCACGUAGCCGACUUCCAAGUACCUUGGCACUCCGAGUCCGGGACUAGACGUGGCGGUGUAGAAAUACCGCAGCGAGUGUGAGCCUGGGGGCGGCGCGCGGUGAGACCCCGAUCUUCUCCCGGGACCCCAGGCGGGUGCGCGGGCCGGGAGGGGAGCAGGGCGCGGGGCUCGGGACGCAGGGUCGGUGGGCGACGCGGGACGCGGCUUCCCCCGCCCCUCCCUGCAGAGGCUGUUUUCUUCCUGACCCCGCACUCACCAGCGCGGGUCUGAGUCGGGGUCAGGGCGGCCCCCAGCAGCAGGAGCAGCAGGAUCGCCCCCAUCUGGGAUCCCGGGCAUCUGAGUCCCGCGGCUGCGUGGACUUUAUAACCAGCGCCCGCAGAGUAGCUGGUUGGUUUCCCAGGGUCGUGCCACCCAAUGGAGAUUACACGUCCACAUCACGGUCUAUCAUUGAAGAGAUUCAGGGCAGGACAUUGAGCGAGGAUUCUAAAGUAGGAACUGAAGCAGAGACUGCGAGGACCAGUGCGAACUGCAUUGUAGCUCAUGGCUUGCUCAGACGGCUUUCUUAUACAAUCCACGAACACCAGAAUCUGGUAACAAUGUGUCAGUGUCUAGACCUAGUAGCAACUCUAGGAAAGUGUCUGGUGAUUGUCACACAUGAAGAGAACUGAGAAGCACCUGAAGCCUGUGUUGUUGCUGCUGUUAAACUGACAAAGUUCUCCCUGGUCAACACCACCGAGAUCUGUGAAGGGGGAAUUUCACCUGAGUAAGCAGGAAGUACAGACUAAGAAGCUUCCAGAUCUAUUAAUAAUGACAGACUUAUCCGUUACCUGGACAAUCACUGAAGGUUCUGCUGUAGUAGUCUUGAUUUCACUGGGGACAGAGGACCCAGGGCCGCAUCAGUCUUCCCAGCCUGGUCCAGAAGGUCCAAAGACUGUGCAGUGGAUGAGGACUCUGGGGGAUCAGCCUACCUUGUCUAAGCAAAUUGGGGCAAUCAACUCCCCAGUGUCCUGCUUGUUCACAGUUUGGACAGGUUCCUGGUGACAGACAAGAUGAAGGGCAGAUUGUCACCCAGUGGAUGGCUCCAACCCCAUCAAAGACCUGAAGAGAAUGAAUGUUCUCAACCUAGACAGGGAGUGCAGAACAUGCAGCUUUUACAGCUAUAGA
This is a long non-coding RNA of Apodemus sylvaticus (European woodmouse), 1190 nucleotides long. RefSeq lists it as uncharacterized. The record is from RefSeq and is a predicted model, not a curated record. Lineage: Eukaryota; Metazoa; Chordata; Mammalia; Rodentia; Muridae. The transcript is spliced from 3 exons.